Molecule: ribosomal RNA, 420 nt
Filed under: uncultured bacterium
Lineage: Bacteria
Description: bacterial SSU rRNA
Rfam family: Bacterial small subunit ribosomal RNA
Source: RNAcentral
AAGGAAUAUUGGUCAAUGGAGGAAACUCUGAACCAGCCAUCCCGCGUGCAGGAAGAAUGCCCUAUGGGUUGUAAACUGCUUUUAUCUGGGAAGAAAAGCCGGCAUUUAUGUUGGUCUGACGGUACCAGAGGAAUAAGCACCGGCUAACUCCGUGCCAGCAGCCGCGGUAAUACGGAGGGUGCAAGCGUUAUCCGGAAUUACUGGGUUUAAAGGGUGCGUAGGCGGCGCUGUAAGUCAGUGGUGAAAGGUUCCGGCUUAACCGGGGAAUGGCCUUUGAUACUGCAGUGCUAGGAUUGGGUUGAGGUUGGCGGAAUGUGACAUGUAGCGGUGAAAUGCAUAGAUAUGUCAUAGAACACCGAUUGCGAAGGCAGCUGACUGGACCUUGAUUGACGCUGAGGCACGAAAGCGUGGGGAGCGAAC